AGAUUGAACGCUGGCGGCAUGCCUUACACAUGCAAGUCGAACGGUAACAGGUUAAGCUGACGAGUGGCGAACGGGUGAGUAAUAUAUCGGAACGUGCCCAGUAGUGGGGGAUAGCCCGGCGAAAGCCGGAUUAAUACCGCAUACGACCUACGGGUGAAAGCGGGGGAUCGCAAGACCUCGCGCUAUUGGAGCGGCCGAUAUCAGAUUAGCUAGUUGGUGGGGUAAAAGCCCACCAAGGCGACGAUCUGUAGCUGGUCUGAGAGGACGACCAGCCACACUGGGACUGAGACACGGCCCAGACUCCUACGGGAGGCAGCAGUGGGGGAAUUUUGGACAAUGGACGCAAGUCUGAUCCAGCCAUGCCGCGUGCGGGAAGAAGGCCUUCGGGUUGUAACCGCUUUUGUCAGGGAAGAAAGUCUGGGGCUAAUAUCCUCGGACGAUGACGGUACCUGAAGAAUAAGCACCGGCUAACUACGCGCCAGCAGCCGCGGU
RNAcentral lists this ribosomal RNA (492 nucleotides) under uncultured bacterium. RNAcentral's name for it is "SSU rRNA". It matches the Rfam family "Bacterial small subunit ribosomal RNA", at positions 26 to 521 of the family's 1533-position model. The record is from RNAcentral.